This 301-nucleotide ribosomal RNA is filed under the name uncultured bacterium. RNAcentral's name for it is "partial 16S ribosomal RNA". It matches the Rfam family "Bacterial small subunit ribosomal RNA", at positions 509 to 807 of the family's 1533-position model. The record is from RNAcentral.
CAGCAGCCGCGGUAAGACAGAGGAUGCAAGCGUUAUCCGGAAUGAUUGGGCGUAAAGCGUCUGUAGGUGGCUUUUCAAGUCCGCUGUCAAAUCCCAGGGCUCAACCCUGGACAGGCGGUGGGAACUACCAAGCUGGAGUACGUUAGGGGCAGAGGGAAUUUCCGGUGGAGCGGUGAAAUGCGUUGAAAUCGGAAAGAACACCAACGGCGAAAGCACUCUGCUGGGCCGACACUGACACUGAGAGACGAAAGCUAGGGGGGCAAAUGGGAUUAGAUACCCCCGUAGUCCCUGUCUCUUAUAC